GACGAACGCUGGCGGCGUGCUUAACACAUGCAAGUCGAACGAAGAGCGAUGGAAGCUUGCUUCUAUCAAUCUUAGUGGCGAACGGGUGAGUAACGCGUAAUCAACCUGCCCUUCAGAGGGGGACAACAGUUGGAAACGACUGCUAAUACCGCAUACGAUCUAACCUCGGCAUCGAGGAUAGAUGAAAGGUGGCCUCUACAUGUAAGCUAUCACUGAAGGAGGGGAUUGCGUCUGAUUAGCUAGUUGGAGGGGUGACGGCCCACCAAGGCGAUGAUCAGUAGCUGGUCUGAGAGGAUGAACGGCCACAUUGGGACUGAGACACGGCCCAGACUCCUACGGGAGGCAGCAGUGGGGAAUCUUCCGCAAUGGACGAAAGUCUGACGGAGCAACGCCGCGUGAGUGAUGACGGCCUUCGGGUUGUAAAGCUCUGUUAAUCGGGACGAAAGGCCUUCUUGCGAAUAGUGAGAAGGAUUGACGGUACCGGAAUAGAAAGCCACGGCUAACUACGUG
Molecule: ribosomal RNA, 510 nt
Filed under: uncultured bacterium
Lineage: Bacteria
Description: partial 16S ribosomal RNA
Rfam family: Bacterial small subunit ribosomal RNA
Source: RNAcentral